AUUGAACGCUGGCGGCAGGCCUAACACAUGCAAGUCGAGCGGAUGAAGGGAGCUUGCUCUUGGAUUCAGCGGCGGACGGGUGAGUAAUGCCUAGGAAUCUGCCUGGUAGUGGGGGAUAACGUCCGGAAACGGGCGCUAAUACCGCAUACGUCCUGAGGGAGAAAGUGGGGGAUCUUCGGACCUCACGCUAUCAGAUGAGCCUAGGUCGGAUUAGCUAGUUGGUGGGGUAAAGGCCUACCAAGGCGACGAUCCGUAACUGGUUUGAGAGGAUGAUCAGUCACACUGGAACUGAGACACGGUCCAGACUCCUACGGGAGGCAGCAGUGGGGAAUAUUGGACAAUGGGCGAAAGCCUGAUCCAGCCAUGCCGCGUGUGUGAAGAAGGUCUUCGGAUUGUAAAGCACUUUAAGUUGGGAGGAAGGGCAGUAAGUUAAUACCUUGCUGUUUUGACGUUACCAACAGAAUAAGCACCGGCUAACUUCGUG
Molecule: ribosomal RNA, 484 nt
Filed under: uncultured bacterium
Lineage: Bacteria
Description: partial 16S ribosomal RNA
Rfam family: Bacterial small subunit ribosomal RNA
Source: RNAcentral